GGGAGUGAAAUAGAACAUGAAACCGUUAGCUUACAAGCAGUGGGGAGGACUAUUUAUUGUCUGACCGUCGUGGCCUGUUGAAGAAUGGAGCCGGCGACUUAUAGGCACUGGUAGGUUAAAGCGAGAAUGCUGGAGCCAAAGGGAAACCGAGUCUGAAAAAGGGCGAUAAUCAGUGUUUAUAGACCCGAACCCUGGUGAUCUAACCAUGGCCAGGAUGAAGCUUGGGUAACACCAAGUGGAGGUCCGCACCGACUGAUGUUGAAAAAUCAGCGGAUGAGCUGUGGUUUAGGGGUGAAAUGCCAAUCGAACCAGGAGCUAGCUGGUCUCCCCGAAAUGUGUUAGGCGCAGCGGUAAUGAUAUAUCUGGGGGUAAAGCACUGUUUCGGUGCGGGCUGGGAG
RNAcentral lists this ribosomal RNA (398 nucleotides) under Nostoc sp. HG1. RNAcentral's name for it is "partial 23S ribosomal RNA". It matches the Rfam family "Bacterial large subunit ribosomal RNA", at positions 534 to 931 of the family's 2925-position model. Lineage: Bacteria; Bacillati; Cyanobacteriota; Cyanophyceae; Nostocales; Nostocaceae. The record is from RNAcentral.